Molecule: long non-coding RNA, 390 nt
Organism: Chelonia mydas (Green sea turtle)
Lineage: Eukaryota; Metazoa; Chordata; Testudines; Cheloniidae
Exons: 2
Source: RefSeq, a predicted model, not a curated record
AGACAUGUUCCAUCUGCUAGUGAGGUAUGAUCUGUUUCUAUGUGACAUCAUCACAUUACACUUGAGAAGACUAAUGCCAGUUUAUAAACACUAAACCUUGGCUCGGUUUCAAAACUCCUUACUACCUGCCACGAGAAUCCAUCCUUAACAUACAGGAUUCUGAAGACUAUCCACCUUCAAGAUCACCAUCAUUUUCUAUAGUUUCAGAGUUAUCUGCCAACGAUCAUGUUUCAGUCACAUCAUGUAUGUCACAUAGCUACAGUAUAUCAUCUGUAGAAAAAACGAAAAAAAAAUCUCCAUCAUCCAGAAACAACCAUAGAUAAGUUUGUGAUAAGAACCAGCAGAUUACAAAAAGAGGUCAUUGAUGAAAACAUUGCCCAGUUUGUUUAU